This 393-nucleotide ribosomal RNA is filed under the name uncultured bacterium. Its description in RNAcentral is "partial 16S ribosomal RNA". It matches the Rfam family "Bacterial small subunit ribosomal RNA", at positions 523 to 918 of the family's 1533-position model. The record is from RNAcentral.
AUACGGAGGAUGCGAGCGUUAUCCGGAUUUAUUGGGUUUAAAGGGUGCGUAGGCGGACGAUUAAGUCAGCUGUGAAAUGCCCGCGCUUAACGCGGGAAGUGCAGUUGAUACUGGUUGUCUGGAGUGCCGUUGCCGUGGGGGGAAUGUGUAGUGUAGCGGUGAAAUGCAUAGAUAUUACACAGAACGCCGAUUGUGAAGACACCUCCGGAAGCGGAAAGGGACGCUGAGGCACGAAAGCGUGGGGAUCGAACAGGAUUAGAUUCCCUGGUAGUCCACGCAGUAAACGAUGAGGACUAACCGUGGGCGGUGGGCCGCCGGUGGCCAAGCGAAAGCGAUAAGUCAUCCACCUGGGGAGUACGACCGCAAGGCUGAAACUCAAAGGAAUUGACGGGG